CCAGGAAGAAGUUCUCACUUAUGAAAUUCAGGGCCCUUUCCAGAUUCCCUUUCUGCUUUUGAGGAAAGAAGCGAGCAUCAGGAUAAGGACAAAGAAAGGGAAGCUUUUCUCCCCCAAGACAAAGGAUGAGGCCAAGUACAUAAUAAAGACUUGCUGUCUCUUAGCAUAGGGCCAGAUGAAAAUCAAGACUCCAGAAGGGGUGGGUCUGGCAGGGAGACUGUUGGGGUGGGAGAAUGCAGGAGACACCUCACUACUUCAGAACAGAGAGGAGCCGAUAUCUCAGUCCAGGAUCACGGUACUGGAAUCCUCAGUUAACCCGGCAAUUGUGCCCCAGGUGUAUAACUAACAAUUAGGGGUGCACAGGUCACCAAAAGACUUGCACAAAAUGGAACUACUGAAAUGCCCAUCAACAGCAGAACUGUGGAUAGUCACAUAAUGAAAUACUAUACAAUGAGAAUCGACUAGAACUACAUCCAGAAUUAUGCAAGAAUCUCUCAAGGGUGCCGUGAAAGCAGUCAGAGCUAAGGGGAUAACUCUAUGAUCCUCCUACAGAAAGUUCAAAUGCAGGCAAAUUCGCCUGUGGUACUUAGAAGUCAGAAGAGUGGUUAUCUUGAGAGAAGGGUUGAAAUUAGGAGGAAAGGGGCAUCUAAGGCCCUGGUAAUGCUGUUUCUUAUCUGUGUGCCAGAAACACAGGGGUUUUAAGUUUGCGACAUUCAUAGGGCUGCACACUCAUCAUUUGGGCACUUUUAUCUACAUUUGUUAUUCUUCAAUAACAUCUAGUCUCUGAAUGGAGACCAUUCAGCCUCAGGACCAAAGCCUCAACUGACUGGAGCUGGGGAGGCCCUUCCCUCCCUCAUCUUCCAUCAUCCUCCAAAUGCUUUGCAGAGCUAUAGUUCCUGGCCCUAGAAACUCUUUGCUUAUCAUGAACAAUAACUUCUUUGUGCAGUAGGGAGGUGAGAGCACCCUGCGCUGGGUAACCUAGGAACACAGUGGCACAUGAGGAGGUGGGAAGGGAGACUAGAGGUUUGAGACCUGCUCCCCAGGCACAAGCUACUGGUGAUGCAGGACAGAGUCUUCAGCAAGGUAACCCUACUCUGCUGCUAAGCCAGGAAGGCAGCCUGCUAGGCUUGAAGCUCCAGUUCCCAUUCAUUCCUCAGAGCCAGAUUUAUGGAUAUCCCCCUGGGCUGUGGAGGCAAAACACCAGGGUUUAAAUCCUGGCCGUCUGUUUACUGCACCAGUGACCUCUCACUAAGUUCCUCAACCUCAUUUUACAGCUAAGUGGAAAUUAUCAACAACUCCUUUGCAGGACAGCCCACAAGCACAGAAAGUUACUAAAUUAGGGCCCGUUGGUCACCUCCAGUCGGUCCAGUCCUGCCACCGCACCCGCCAGCUGUGUUCUCCAUGCAGUUCAACAAGGGCCCCUCAUACCGGCUCUCGGCCGAGGUCAAGAACCGGCUCCUGUCCAAAUACAACCCCCAGAAGGAGGCAGAGCUCCGCAGCUGGAUCGAGGGGCUCACCAGCCUCUCCAUCAGCCCCAACUUCCAAAAGGGCCUGAAGGACAGAAUUAUCUUACACACACUCAUGAACAAGCUGCAGCCAGGCUCAGUCCCCAAGAUCAACCGCUCCAUGCAGAACUGGCACCAGCGAGAAAACCUCUCCAACUUCAUCAAGGCCAUAGUCAGCUACGGCAUGAACCCCAUGAACCUGUUUGAGGCCAAUAACCUGUUUGAGAGUGGGAACAUGACGCAGGUGUUGUCUCUUCUUGCCCUGGUGGGGAAGGCCAAAACUAAGGGGCUGCAGAGCAGGGUGGACAUCGGCAUUGGGUACUCAAAGCAGCAGGAGCGGAACUUCGACUACAACACCACGAAGGCCAGCCAGUGAGUCACUAGGCUGCAGAUGGGCACCAACAAAUGUGCUAGCCAGUUGGGCAUGACCAUGUACAGCACAGGAAGGCAUCUCUACAGCCCCAAGAACCACAUCCUGCCCCCAUGGACCAUUUGACCAUCAGCCUCCAGAUGGGUACAAACAAGUGCGCCAGCCAGGUAGGCAUGACGGCUCCCUGGACGCAGCAGCAGAUCUAUGACACCAAGCUGGGCACCAACAAGUGUGACAACUCCUCCAUGUCCCUGCAGAUGGGCUACACGCAGGGUGCCAACCAGAGAGGCCAGGUCUUUGGCUUGGGCCGGCAGAUAUACAAUUCCAAGUACUGCCCACAAGGCUCAGUGGCCGACAGGGCUCCCUCGGGCACCAAUGAGUGCCCAGGCCCAGGGGAGGCCCCUGAAUUACCCCCCUUACUACCAGGAGGAGGCCAGCUACUAAGGCUCCCAGCACGCUUUCUCCCCACAUCGUCUCCCUGUCUGGGUUUUGGGGUUUUUCUGUAUUUUUUUUUUUUUUAAAACCUGUUCAGUGUUGCCAAUCAACCGAGGGUCUGUGAGUGGCGGCAUGGGAUCUGGCAGCAGGGUUUUGCCCCCUUGCCUUGGUUCCUUCGCAGAACUGGGCCACCGGGUUGUGCGGGAAGGGGUUAAGGCCGCAUCCCGAUGCGUGUAGAGUGAGGGUCCCUGCUGGCAUGUCCAGGCUAUGGGGCUGCUGUGCUGCGGCGAAGAGACCUGCGCAUGGAGGCAAUCGCUCCCCGAAGGUUUCCAGUUGCCUUGCCUCUUCCCCCGUUUGCUGGCCGAUCAGUUUGUGGUUUCUGCACCCACAAAAGUUUCAGGAAGUAUUAACAAAAGAAAAAUAUGGCCGGGCAUGGUGGCUCACAUCUGUAAUCCCAGCACUUUGGGAGGCUAAGGUGGGCGGAUCACCUGAGGU
Molecule: RNA transcript, 2805 nt
Organism: Cercocebus atys (sooty mangabey)
Lineage: Eukaryota; Metazoa; Chordata; Mammalia; Primates; Cercopithecidae
Gene name: calponin-2 pseudogene
Exons: 1
Source: RefSeq, a predicted model, not a curated record